AGUGAACGCUGGCGGUAUGCCUAACACAUGCAAGUCGAACGGCAGCACAGUAAGAGCUUGCUCUUACGGGUGGCGAGUGGCGGACGGGUGAGGAAUACAUCGGAAUCUACUUUUUCGUGGGGGAUAACGUAGGGAAACUUACGCUAAUACCGCAUACGACCUACGGGUGAAAGCAGGGGAUCUUCGGACCUUGCGCGAUUGAAUGAGCCGAUGUCGGAUUAGCUAGUUGGCGGGGUAAAGGCCCACCAAGGCGACGAUCCGUAGCUGGUCUGAGAGGAUGAUCAGCCAGACUGGAACUGAGGAACGGUCCAGACUCCUACGGGAGGCAGCAGUGGGGAAUAUUGGACAAUGGGCGCAAGCCUGAUCCAGCCAUACCGCGUGGGUGAAGAAGGCCUUCGGGUUGUAAAGCCAUUUUGUUGGGAAAGAAAAGCAGCAGGUUAAUACCCCGCUGUUCUGACGGUACCCAAAGAAUAAGCACCGGCUAACUUCGUG
Molecule: ribosomal RNA, 492 nt
Filed under: uncultured bacterium
Lineage: Bacteria
Description: partial 16S ribosomal RNA
Rfam family: Bacterial small subunit ribosomal RNA
Source: RNAcentral